Molecule: ribosomal RNA, 490 nt
Filed under: uncultured bacterium
Lineage: Bacteria
Description: partial 16S ribosomal RNA
Rfam family: Bacterial small subunit ribosomal RNA
Source: RNAcentral
GAUGAACGCUAGCGGCAGGCCUAAUACAUGCAAGUCGAACGGGAUCCAGAUCAAAGCUUGCUUUGGUCUGGUGAGGGUGGCGCACGGGUGCGUAACGCGUGAGCAACCUACCCUUGUCAGGGGGAUAGCCCGGCGAAAGUCGGAUUAAUACCGCAUGACAUCAUUGAGAGGCAUCUUUCGAUGAUCAAAGAUUUAUCGGACAAGGAUGGGCUCGCGUGACAUUAGCUAGUUGGUAAGGUAACGGCUUACCAAGGCUGCGAUGUCUAGGGGCUCUGAGAGGAGAAUCCCCCACACUGGUACUGAGACACGGACCAGACUCCUACGGGAGGCAGCAGUAAGGAAUAUUGGUCAAUGGACGGAAGUCUGAACCAGCCAUGCCGCGUGCAGGAAGACGGCCCUAUGGGUUGUAAACUGCUUUUAUACGGGAACAAACGUCGGUACGUGUACCGGUCUGAGUGUACCGUAAGAAUAAGGAUCGGCUAACUCCGUG